RNAcentral lists this long non-coding RNA (514 nucleotides) under Gorilla gorilla gorilla (western lowland gorilla). RNAcentral's name for it is "lncRNA (ENSGGOG00000044260.1)". The record is from RNAcentral. Lineage: Eukaryota; Metazoa; Chordata; Mammalia; Primates; Hominidae.
UCACAGAAGAAGGGUGUGGUUAGCACUACCUGGGAAAACUUCACAAAGGAGGUGGUGUUUGAGUGAAGUCUUGAGGUCCCCAGGGCUGCUUACCGGGCAGUGUGGAUGGCAUGCAGUGGGAUGGUGAAGGAUGGGGCCAGAGGAAGGAAGGACAUGCCCGCCCAGCCGUGUUUGGGAUGCUGCCUCCCUGGAGAGGGGUCAUGAAGCCUAGCAGGCAGUGGAGCCCAGGCUCAAAGCAGCUCCCCCUGCCCCGUGUAGAGCGCUGAUGAGAUGGCAAUUUAAACUGCUUUGAUGACCAGGUUUCAUUAGGAUCAACGGAUGAAAAGACUGAGAUUGUAUACAUGUAAAUACCAAGUUCAGUGAGUUUCCAUGGCCUCUUCUGUCUUAAUACAACUUACCAAACAAUCCAGACAGAUUUCUGCCUCCACUUUGUUGAUUUACCCAGGUAUAUUUUGGCUUUGUUUGCAGAUAUUCGGUGACAUUUGGAAGGGUGCUGUCCGCAGCUGCCCCUCAU